GGCUGAUUGGGGGUACCUCAGGGGCUGCGGUCUUCUCUAGCAUGUUCUAUAGGUGUCAAGAAACUCUUAAAACCACAAAGCCUAACGCCAAUCCAUUUUCUCAGCUCUAAAGGCCAGCGUAAGGGCGAGAGCGCCACACAAGAAGCGGAGCCGCGUUGCGCCGCGUGGUGCGCCACGGUGCGCGCCCCGGGAGGGUGCUGUCCAGCGCGCGGCGCUUCCGGAGGCGCGCAGGACUCGUGCGCCGGUGCGUCCCAGGCGCUUAGCCGCGCGCUGCGCAGUCUCCACUACUUCAGUUGCCACGGGUCUGAGCGCCAGCGCGGGUUGUAGGGACAGGAGAAACAACGAGGUGGCCUGCGCGGAUUUGUGGCUUGCAAACCCUUGUUCAUCCAGAAAAGGGAGUUGAAGCACCCCGAAGUGAGUCAGGGACAGAGUCGGAGAGGAUGUCUGAGCUGCCUUCUGGGCUGUGGUAACCGCAACAGGAGUUGAAUGGACGGAAGGCCGACGCUGUCUGGGCUUCUGGGGGAUGAACCCCGCUCCACCCGAGCUUGGCCCGCGCCGCUCCGGGCUCUCCAGACAACCAGCUCCCCUCUUCCUCCCCUCACCCCCACCCCUUGCGUGUCAGAGCUUGCAGAACCCUCGUCCUUGGGAAGUUCCUAGGAAUCAUCGCCGAAGCCGCUGAGGCAGAGCGCCCCACCCUUGUCUCUGGCUCCUUUUCUGCUGCAAAGACAGAGUGCAUGAUUGAGACAGAAACCAACUGGGCUGCAAAGCUUAAAAUAUUUGUUAUCUGGCCUUUUAUACAAAAAGUUUACAGACUUCAUUUCAAAAAUGCAUUUGAAAAGAAGUGAUGGAAUUUAAAAACAGAGAUCUACACCAACUGAAGAGGAUUCUGGAAGAUUCUCAAGGGCCCUAGGGAAUGGUGGAGCUACUGGAUGAAAGGAGACUCAGUUCCUGUAUACUGUGUGGAGGAGAGCACCCUCCAGGACCCCAACUAUUAAGCAUCA
Molecule: long non-coding RNA, 1001 nt
Organism: Lutra lutra (Eurasian river otter)
Lineage: Eukaryota; Metazoa; Chordata; Mammalia; Carnivora; Mustelidae
Exons: 3
Source: RefSeq, a predicted model, not a curated record